Molecule: long non-coding RNA, 214 nt
Filed under: Mustela putorius furo (domestic ferret)
Lineage: Eukaryota; Metazoa; Chordata; Mammalia; Carnivora; Mustelidae
Description: lncRNA (ENSMPUG00000029216.1)
Source: RNAcentral
CUGAGUGGCUCCAGACUUGAAACGUACUCCUGUUUCGUAGCGUCUCAGAUGAAUGCUGACCUGGCUGUAAUUUCUACAGCUGACAUGGUGAGAACUCAUGACCCCGAGAUCUACUCUACUGAGUGGGCCAGCCAGGUGCCCCUGAACUAGUAAGUAUAAUUAACCAUUUAUAGCACAUACCUUCCUGGCUAAAUCUUGGGCACUUUACACAUGU